GGAUUGUGGCUUAGUGGUAGAGUGCUUGCCUAAUACGUGUGAGGCACUGGGUUCGAUCUUCAGCACCA
This 68-nucleotide transfer RNA is filed under the name Marmota monax (woodchuck). RNAcentral describes it as "tRNA.Ile". Lineage: Eukaryota; Metazoa; Chordata; Mammalia; Rodentia; Sciuridae. The record is from RNAcentral.